AAAAAAAGGAAAUGGGAGGGAAAUGGAAGUGAAAGAAGGUGAGAUGAUGAGAGGAGCAAGCCUUGUGUGAUUCCCCUGAUACCUUACCUCUUUCCCCUUUUAUCAAAACGCAGAAACUUCUUCGCGUUUUGUGUUCACCGGAACCUCACAUGAAGAGCGCAGCGCAUUCUACCGGAGUCUCGCCGCCGACGGAGGAGAUCGAAUGGGAGAUGCGUCCCGGCGGCAUGUUCGUACAGAGACGCGAAGCAGGUGACGAUGAUCAAAGCAAUGGACCUAUGAUCAAUAUCAGUGUUGCACAUGCUUCUUCUCAUCACGAAGUCUACCUCCCAGUUCAAUCAACUUUCUGUGAGUCUCUUUUAUCUUAUCUCUUCACACUAUACUACUCUCUAUGCUGGUUUUGUGGCUGAAUUUUUGAAACAUCAGUUUUCGUUUUACUUUGCUGCUUGUUAUUGGCAUUUAAUUCUGUGAUUGUUUGAUUGUUUUAAGUUAAUUUUGAAAAGCUAAUUGUAUUUUGUGCGUAAUUGUAUUUUGUCGUUAUAUUAGUUCUUGAAAUUCGUGAAAUGAAGAAUAAUUUGAUUGAAAAUAAACUAUGUGAAGUGUAAAAUUUUACUUUGCAACUUGGAUUACGGUGACCGCGAGAGGGAUUGGAUGUUGCACAAGUUUUUAUUUUAAUUUUUAUAACCAUGAUAUAUAGGUACAAAGCUAUGUAGCUCCGAUAUUUCAUAUUGAAGAAGUGUCCAGUUUUCAUCAUGUGUCAACUCCGACACUUAAUACUACACCUACACGUGUGGCUACAUUCAAUUAAUUUCUAUUUUGUGAAAUCGUUACUGAUGUCUACGUAUUAUUGUCAAUAUGGUGUUUGGUGCUUGUGUCAAUGCUUCAUAGGUAUGAAGUAUACACUGUCGUUUCAUGCUGACUAAUAUCCGAUGCGUAACUUGGUAGACACACAAGGUGAAUUCUUUUUUCCCAACCAGGUUUUAUACAUAAGCAAGACCCAGAGAUCAAACCCCUGGCCACUUGCUUAAGGUGUUCGAGUCCCUUGCCAUAUGAACCAAUCACAUGUUGGUAAAAGAUAAAUGUAAAUUUCCUUUUUUCGGAGCUAAUACGACCGACAUUAUAUAUACCUGGAAUUGAUUUAACCAUUAUUCACUCUGAUAUUAGUUGAAAUUUGGGUUGAUUUGGUGUUGGUGAAUGCAUGGUUCAUCUUAUGUGAGUUGAUGUUGGUGGAGAGAUUCAAUGGAUAAAAGUUUUGGACCUUUCCACCUUGGUUGUGGAGUUGGUUUUUUGAAGGGUGGUGUUAUUAUUAAGGAAAAUUAAUUACAAUAUUAUAAAGAAAAAAAGGAAAUGGGAGGGAAAUGGAAGUGAAAGAAGGUGAGAUGAUGAGAGGAGCAAGCCUUGUGUGAUUCCCCUGAUACCUUACCUCUUUCCCCUUUUAUCAAAACGCAGAAACUUCUUCGCGUUUUGUGUUCACCGGAACCUCACAUGAAGAGCGCAGCGCAUUCUACCGGAGUCUCGCCGCCGACGGAGGAGAUCGAAUGGGAGAUGCGUCCCGGCGGCAUGUUCGUACAGAGACGCGAAGCAGGUGACGAUGAUCAAAGCAAUGGACCUAUGAUCAAUAUCAGUG
This 1624-nucleotide long non-coding RNA is filed under the name Cicer arietinum (chickpea). RNAcentral's name for it is "long non-coding RNA (CARI_LNC000733)". Lineage: Eukaryota; Viridiplantae; Streptophyta; Magnoliopsida; Fabales; Fabaceae. The record is from RNAcentral.